This 462-nucleotide ribosomal RNA is filed under the name uncultured bacterium. Its description in RNAcentral is "partial 16S ribosomal RNA". It matches the Rfam family "Bacterial small subunit ribosomal RNA", at positions 28 to 507 of the family's 1533-position model. The record is from RNAcentral.
GACGAACGCUGGCGGCGUGCUUAACACAUGCAAGUCGAACGGCAAGGCCCUUCGGGGUACUCGAGUGGCGAACGGGUGAGUAACACGUGGGUGAUCUGCCCUGCACUUUGGGAUAAGCCUGGGAAACUGGGUCUAAUAUUGAACAGGACCACGCGCUUCAUGGUGUGUGGUGGAAAGCUUUUGCGGUGUGGGAUGGGCCCGCGGCCUACCAGCUUGUUGGUGGGGUAAUGGCCUACCAAGGCGACGACGGGUAGCCGGCCUGAGAGGGUGACCGGCCACAAUGGGACUACGGUAGGGCGCAGACUCCUACGGGAGGCAGAAGUGGGAAAUAUUGCACAGUGAGCGCAAGCCUGAUGCGGCGACGCCGCGUGAGGGAUGACGGCCUUCGGGUUGUAAACCUCUUUCACCAGGGACGAAGCGUAAGUGACGGUACCUAGAGAAGAAGCACCGGCCAACUACGUG